RNAcentral lists this ribosomal RNA (465 nucleotides) under Vreelandella stevensii. Its description in RNAcentral is "partial 16S ribosomal RNA". It matches the Rfam family "Bacterial small subunit ribosomal RNA", at positions 338 to 795 of the family's 1533-position model. The record is from RNAcentral. Lineage: Bacteria; Pseudomonadati; Pseudomonadota; Gammaproteobacteria; Oceanospirillales; Halomonadaceae.
CCUACGGGAGGCAGCAGUGGGGAAUAUUGGACAAUGGGCGAAAGCCUGAUCCAGCCAUGCCGCGUGUGUGAAGAAGGCCUUCGGGUUGUAAAGCACUUUCAGUGGGGAAGAAAGCCUUGGGGCUAAUACCCUCGAGGAAGGACAUCACCCACAGAAGAAGCACCGGCUAACUCCGUGCCAGCAGCCGCGGUAAUACGGAGGGUGCGAGCGUUAAUCGGAAUUACUGGGCGUAAAGCGCGCGUAGGCGGUCUGAUAAGCCGGUUGUGAAAGCCCCGGGCUCAACCUGGGAACGGCAUCCGGAACUGUCAGGCUAGAGUGCAGGAGAGGAAGGUAGAAUUCCCGGUGUAGCGGUGAAAUGCGUAGAGAUCGGGAGGAAUACCAGUGGCGAAGGCGGCCUUCAGGACUGACACUGACGCUGAGGUGCGAAAGCGUGGGUAGCAAACAGGAUUAGAUACCCUUGUAGUC